AAAAAAAAAAGAGUGCCAUAAACGGGUGAAAAUGAGAUAUCAUAACAUAAAAAAUAAAGACCAUGACGCCGGUACGAUCAUUAAUAUUGUUCAAUUUCAUGAAACUUAUUUGUGCCGAAUAUAUUUCAAAAGAAUAAAAUAAAAUAUGAUACAAUGAAACAAACUACACACGCACAAACACACCUUUAUUUAAAAAUAAAUAAAUAAAUAAAUAAAUACAAUAAAAUAAAAUAAAACAUAUCUGAUCCUGCAUUUUCUCCUAAUAUACCGAAUAUCAGAUUAUUCCCAACUCUAUCAAAUAGAGUCAAAUUGAUCUGAUCAUUAUGAGAUUAUUAUAAAAGGAAUAAAAGGUUAUUGCGAGGCAUAUUUACCCCCUCCCCCCCAUCACAGAUUCAAAAUAUGAAGACGAACACGUCUUCGCCCUUUCCGUCGAUGGCGAACGAGGCCAACUUUUUAUGCGUCUGCCUUCGGUGCAUUAGCUUAAAGCAUUUCCGCUCCAUAACUCAGUAAUAUAAACUCUGGUGUACAAGCUGGAGGAAUUUAGCAGAGCAAUAAAAUAAGCUCUUAAUAAGAGCUGCGUAGUAAAGCUGAAGAAGCAGGCGAUAAACUGCAGCAAUGGCAGAGCCUGGGAUAAUUUAUACAGGAAGUGAAGUGCCCAGAGCUGGGGCUAAUGCACAUAUCUACUCUCGCUAUACAAAAAAAAAAUAAAAAUCUCAGUGAAAGGUCUGAGCCAAUGACUGCAUAUACGUAUAAGAGUGAUCGACACGGUGCCACGGACACGCCCCUGCUUAAGACGGCACGUCGAACACUGUCUCAAAGUGUAUAAUUUUCGCCGGAGUAUUCAUUUUAACGGUGUCUGGGAAAGAUCACGACCGACUGAGCUACUAUAGUCCCCUCCAAAAGUACUGGAACAGCAAAGCCGAUUCUACAUAGCUUUCAUUUCCUCAUAUUUACAUCUAGAUGUGUUCAACAACUCGGCACCUUUUGUUUGAACCCACCCCCAAGUGAUCAACAACAUUGGAACAUGUGACUGACAGGUGUUUUUCGUUACCCAGGCGUGACGUGUUAGAUUGAUUGUUUAAACAAUAAAUAGCUCUGAACAUCUACUCUCGGUUUCACCCGUGAAGACUGUAUUUUGUCGUUAAAAAGGAUAAACCAACAUGAAGACCAGUGAGAUGUCUACAGGAGAAAAGCAAGCCAUUUUGAAGUUGAGAAAAGCUGGGAAAUCCAACCAGAGCCAGUGCACAAGCAUUGCGCGUAGCCUAUGCAGCAAUCUGGAACGUCCUGUGACUUUGUUCGGUCAUGUUAGGUGUUAGAUGUUACCGGAAAAAACUGCAACGCACUCCCCGCUACAGCAAAACAAAAGACGGCUUUGCUGCAGAAUAAUUUCCGAGAGCUUCCGUCGUGUGCUGGAAAGUCCGCGUACGUUAACGUGGCCCCAAAAAAAAGUUUAAACACUUCAUGAACCACGCCCUUUCGUUAAUCAUCAAAUGGAUCCUAUAAAAUGCAUUUAUCAUAAGGACAAAUAUGACGGUCAACUAAAUUUGUAAAAGCGACACAACAAUGUUCCCGUGAGUAAUUUGUAGAGCUGUAACUUAAAAACUGAUUUUGGAACCUUUUCAUGUUCACUAACAUGGAAAUGGGGCGGGGUUAAACACUGUACUGCAGACAGCCACCAGAGGGCCUCGGAGACAUAUUGGCUUCACUAUUAUGACAUUAUAUAUAUAUAUAUAUGUCAUUGUUCUGAGCUGUAGUUGUUAGCAUGUUCGCAUCACGCCUCCAGGGUCGGGGGUUCGAUUCCCACCGUGACCCUGUGUGUGUGGAGUUCGCAUGUUCUCCCCGUGCUGCGGGGGUUUCCUCCGGGUACUCCGGUUUCCUCCCCCAGUCCACAGACAUGCAUGGUAGGCUGAUUGGCGUGUCUAAAGUGUCCGUAGUGUAUGAACGGGUGUGUGAGUGUGUGUGUGAGUGUGCCCUGCGAUAUAUUGGCGCCCUGUCCAGGGUGUACCCCGCCUUGUUCCCCAUGCUCCCUGGGAUAGGCUCCAGGUUCCCCCGUGACCCUGAAGCAGGGUCAGGAGCAGUAAUCCACCGUGCAAGUCCCCGUGAAUGAGACGUCGCUAUAGAAACAAUAACGUACUUAAGCCACGACAUUAAUAUAAAAGUCCAGACGUGUAUUGACGCUCCAGCAUCGAUCUGUUAAACAGCGCGAACUAAAACGAAUUCGCUUGAAGGCCACGCAACUCGGGAGAAAGUAAUGAACUUGGCAGAAUCGACUCUAGUUUGAGUCGUGGUGGGGUUUUUUUUUUCCCCCGUCCGUUAUUUCCCUCCUUCAGGAAGACACUUUGAUGGACGUUAUCUCUUCCGCCUUAAUCAAUUAAAAAGUAAUUACAAUUGCAAAUGGUUGCACUUCUCGGUAAUCGCUUUGAACUCGGUCGGUGAAAAGAUACAAUAUAUUUGAGGCGAUAAUAAUAAAUAAAUAGCUUUAAUAUGGCGCCUCGGAGGGCGAGCGAGGCGAGAGCGAGAGGAGGAAGUGUUAUUGAUCGGCUCUGCUGCUUUGUAUUCUGUUCACUAAUAAUUACCAGUACAGCCUAUCCAAUUACACACACACACACACACACACACACACACACACAGGUUCAUUAUGCAAAUAAGAAGGACUCAUUUAAGGCAGGCUUACAGGACUUCAUUUACACUCCUGUAGACAUGACGAUGCAGUCGAUUAAAUCUAGAUGUCUUCGUUUCUUAAUUGAACCAAAUUAAGAUUAUGAAGUUUAUAGAAAAUGAAGGGUUUUGGGUUGGUUUUUUUUUUUUAAAUCGUGUACUCUUUCUUUGCUACGUCCACGAUCACUGCGAGGAAGUUUGAAGGUUAAUGGCGGUCGGUUGAUUCUCCGACCGCUGCACCGGAGUGAGGGGGAUCGUGCGGCGUGAAGUCUCAUUAACCACGAAGGCUCGGAGAAAUGGAAAUCAAAAAGCACUAAAAGGACAGGAGACGAGGUGAGGUUCAGCUAACUCGAGAAGAACGCCUCAAACUGUUCGGUGCUGUUGAAUCCGGGAUUCUGGUCAGGUGGCGUUGAUUCAUUUUCUAGAACAGCAGCUCUGAUAGUACUUCGAGGACAUUGCUGUUUCUAUGGUAACAGCUCGUUCACGGGGACUUGUACGGCGGACGCGCCACGUAAACAUAAAACGGUGUCCGCGUUUACGCGUCUUGAGGUGUCCGCGUUUACGUGUCUUUGAGGUGUCUGCGUUUACGCGUCUUUGCGGUGUCUGCGUCUUUGAGGCGUCUGCGUUUACGCGUCUUUGAGGCGUCUGCGUUUCAGCGUCUUUGAGGUGUCUGCAUCUCUGAGGCGUCCGCGUUUACGCGUCUUUGAGGCGUCUGCGUUUACGCGUCUUUGAGGUGUCUGCAUCUCUGAGGCGUCCGCGUUUACGCGUCUUUGAGGCGUCUGCGUUUCAGCAUCUUUGUGGUGUCUGCGUUUACGUGUCUUUGAGGCGUCUGCGUUUCAGCGUCUUUGAAGCGUCUGCAUCUCUGAGGCGUCCGCGUUUACGCAUCUUUGCGGUUUCCGCGUCUCCGAGGCGUCCGCGUUUACGCGUCUUCUCCCGGUUUCCGUUUCUCUGAGGGAACGAUUUCGUUUAUAGCUGCUAUAACGUAGGUGAGAACGCGAACUUGUUUCAGAGACGUUCCACGGCAUUUAAAAAAAAAUGUUUAAAAAAAUCUACUUUGUUUAUCCAUUGUUUUGCAUCGAACAAUUCUGCACUGAAAACAAGCGCUGGAUUUCUUUUUCUUCUCAUUAUUAUGAAUAAUAAGCUUUUUGCUCUGUUGCAUAAAUUGUAAUGAGUUUCUGACGGUUUAUUUAAUGGUUUGAAAAUAAAGCAUGUAUGAGUAAUGUUUCAUUUUAAAAAUAAAUAAAUAAAUAAAUAAAAAGCGAUCAGGAAAAACAAACUCUGUCCUUUUUAAUAGGAUAUUAUAUCCCCAAACCAAGCUGUAUAUAUAAAGCUAAUUAAUUAACGUUUCAUUUAGAAACUCAGAGGUAAUGAAAAACUAUUUUUUUUUUGUUAUAAAUUAAACAAUUAAGCAGAAAAUAUCACACAACCCAGCUACGCGUAGACGGACAGAGUGCGUGCGGUGGAAAAGUUCCUGUGUGAAACUUUUCCGCGCGUUUUUUCGUCUUUUACGGUCAUUUCUGGCGGAAAACGUUAUCGAUGUUGACGCGGGAUGGAAACGGAUCAUCCAAGCCGAGGUAUGUUCGGAGCUGGGAAUAUUUCUCUCCACGUUUCAUCUUCAAACUGAGAAACACGGGAGCUCGUUUCAAAACUGUCCAUUAAACCGGUGUAAUUGUGCUGCUGAACCCAGCCGGGCGCCGGUUAACGCUUCCAUCUCUGGAAAGUCAUUCCCAGUCGUUAGUGAUAAAUAACAGCGCUUACAAAAUCCUGCGCGAUUAAUAGACUUUUCGUUAAGGGGAAAUUGAUCCGACGUGUCAUUAACAGACGCCGACGCGAUUAAGACGAUUAAGGAAAUAGAUGCGUUUGCUUACAUUUUUUUUUGUUUGUUUGUUGUGUGUUUUUUUUUGUUAAUAAAAAAAAAAAAAACACGGCAGGCUUUAACCGACAGGCUUUUAGUCUGACUCCGUGACUGACAGACGUUCCAGCAGAGAUUACUGCCAGCAAGGAAAAAGAAAGAAAGAAAGAACAAAGGAAAGAAGGAAAGAAGAAGCAGUGGUCCAUCACUGCUCCAUCUCAGCGGUAAAGUACAGACUUUACACACGUGUCGGAGAGUGAAUGUCAGAUACGUGUCAGCGGAUGAAAAGGCUUUUCACACAGACGACGCUGGAAGCCGUGUCUCUCCUCUGGACCGCACCAAAAGAGAAUCUCAGAGUGCUGGAAAUGUGAGAGACGUGAGACGGCUCCGUGUACGGCGCCGGUUCUGUGACGCCGGAGGGGGAGGGGGAGGGGGUGUUGAUGGGGAACGAGUAUAAAUAUAAAACCCUGUGAAACGCAGAGUGUGAACGAGCGAGCGUGUGAUCUGCCUGUGAAUUUUAUAAAUAAACGAACGUCACAGCAUGGAGAACGGGGGAAACUCUGAGCUACGAGCGAGACGUAGCUCGGAUCCGAGACGAUCUGCUCUGUAGUCUAGAGCCGUAGCCAUGCGGUUCUCCGUCGCUUCGGCUAUCCGGCUGUCAGCAAAACUUCCCAGCAUCAUUAAAUAUAUAAAAGCGAGCUACCUCGGAGGACAGAGGCAGCGUUUUAGGGCAGAUACGAUCUGGCCUAUUUGCAAAGGCAGAAUAAGGACAGCUGUCUAAUGCAGGGCCUACUCGAGAUCUAGAAAAUUCUACAGUCAUGCAGUAAAAUUGUUUAAAAGAGUUUAUCUGGAAAAGGAAAUUCGGGAUACUUUUUUGGGGGUUUUUUUUUUUGGGGGGGGGGGUGUUCUGGAGGGGACGUCGGACGGCGUGGCGCGGGGACGUAAUGACGUGUACCGCUAAUCCCUCUAUGUUCUAUAACGUCUAAAACAGGGACAUGAUCAGAGUAUUCUAAAAGCGACUCAUGUACACACCUUAAUCAGAAUAUCAUACGUCUCAUUCAGAAUGAGGUCCAUAAUUAGAUUACCGCUGUCCGUGUACAUACAGUCAGUGAGUACGUUUACACGGACAGCGGUAAUCUAAUCAUCGACCUUAAUCUGAGUAAGAUGAUAAUCUGAUUAAGGUGUUUACACCUUACUCCUGUCAUGUUCCCGUUUGACAUGUUUUAGAACAUAAUUAGAUUAACAGCCCGCGUCAUUACGUCACCGCGCCACGCCGUCCGACGUCCCUCCAGAAUCUCACGUAUCGACAUACAGU
Ictalurus punctatus (channel catfish) is the source of this 5825-nucleotide long non-coding RNA. Lineage: Eukaryota; Metazoa; Chordata; Actinopteri; Siluriformes; Ictaluridae. The record is from Ensembl.